AGUGAACGCUGGCGGUAGGCCUAACACAUGCAAGUCGAACGGCAGCACAGUAAGAGCUUGCUCUUACGGGUGGCGAGUGGCGGACGGGCGAGGAAUACAUCGGAAUCUACUUUUUCGUGGGGGAUAACGUAGGGAAACUUACGCUAAUACCGCAUACGACCUACGGGUGAAAGCAGGGGAUCUUCGGACCUUGCGCGAUUGAAUGGGCCGAUGUCGGAUUAGCUAGUUGGCGGGGUAAAGGCCCACCAAGGCGACGAUCCGUAGCUGGUCUGAGAGGAUGAUCAGCCACACUGGAACUGAGACACGGUCCAGACUCCUACGGGAGGCAGCAGUGGGGAAUAUUGGACAAUGGGCGCAAGCCUGAUCCAGCCAUACCGCGUGGGUGAAGAAGGCCUUCGGGUUGUAAAGCCCUUUUGUUGGGAAAGAAAAGCAGCAGGUUAAUACCCCGCUGUUCUGACGGUACCCAAAGAAUAAGCACCGGCUAACUUCGUG
This 492-nucleotide ribosomal RNA is filed under the name uncultured bacterium. RNAcentral's name for it is "partial 16S ribosomal RNA". It matches the Rfam family "Bacterial small subunit ribosomal RNA", at positions 29 to 507 of the family's 1533-position model. The record is from RNAcentral.